CUCUUAUCAAGAGUGGCAGAGGGACUGGCCCGAUGACGCCCAGCAACCGUUCCGAAAAGGAAUUGGUGCUAAAUCCUGCAAAACAAGUAAUUGUUUUGAAAGAUAAGAG
This 109-nucleotide non-coding RNA is filed under the name Neobacillus vireti. RNAcentral describes it as "Bacillus vireti SAM-I sequence". It matches the Rfam family "SAM riboswitch aptamer (S box leader)". Rfam says of the family: The SAM riboswitch is found upstream of a number of genes which code for proteins involved in methionine or cysteine biosynthesis in Gram-positive bacteria. The SAM riboswitch acts at the level of transcription termination control. The record is from RNAcentral. RNAcentral also lists the same sequence under 1 other name. Lineage: Bacteria; Bacillati; Bacillota; Bacilli; Caryophanales; Bacillaceae.